RNAcentral lists this ribosomal RNA (492 nucleotides) under uncultured bacterium. RNAcentral's name for it is "partial 16S ribosomal RNA". It matches the Rfam family "Bacterial small subunit ribosomal RNA", at positions 29 to 507 of the family's 1533-position model. The record is from RNAcentral.
AGUGAACGCUGGCGGUAGGCCUAACACAUGCAAGUCGAACGGCAGCACAGUAAGAGCUUGCUCUUACGGGUGGCGAGUGGCGGACGGGUGAGGAAUACAUCGGAAUCUACUUUUUCGUGGGGGAUAACGUAGGGAAACUUACGCUAAUACCGCAUACGACCUACGGGUGAAAGCAGGGGAUCUUCGGACCUUGCGCGAUUGAAUGAGCCGAUGUCGGAUUAGCUAGUUGGCGGGGUAAAGGCCCACCAAGGCGACGAUCCGUAGCUGGUCUGAGAGGAUGAGCAGAGACACAGGAAAUGAGACACGCUCCCCAGACCUACGCGGGGGGGCGGUGGGGAAUAUUGUGGACUGGGGGCGAGCCUGAUCCAGCCAUACCGCGUGGGUGAAGAAGGCCUUCGGGUUGUAAAGCCCUUUUGUUGGGAAAGAAAAGCAGCAGGUUAAUACCCCGCUGUUCUGACGGUACCCAAAGAAUAAGCACCGGCUAACUUCGUG